RNAcentral lists this ribosomal RNA (301 nucleotides) under uncultured bacterium. RNAcentral describes it as "partial 16S ribosomal RNA". It matches the Rfam family "Bacterial small subunit ribosomal RNA", at positions 509 to 807 of the family's 1533-position model. The record is from RNAcentral.
CAGUAGCCACGGGAAUACGAAGGGGGCUAGCGUGGUUCGGACUUACUGGGCAUAAAGCGCACGUAGGCGGGUCGAUCAGUCAGGGGUGAAAUCCCAGAGCUCAACUCUGGAACUGCCUUUGAUACUGUCGAUCUGGAGUAUGGAAGAGGUGAGUGGAAUUCCGAGUGUAGAGGUGAAGUUCGUAGAUAUUCGGAGGAACACCAGUGGCGAAGGCGGCUCACUGGUCCAUUACUGACGCUGAGGUGCGAAAGCGUGGGGAGCAAACAGGAUUAGAUACCCCGGUAGUCCCUGUCUCUUAUAC